UAGAUACCCUGGUAGUCCACGCCGUAAACGAUGAUCACUAGACAUUGGCGAUAUACUGUUCGGUGUCAAAGCGAAAGCAUUAAGUGAUCCACCUGGGGAGUACGGUCGCAAGACUGAAACUCAAAGGAAUUGACGGGGGCCCGCACAAGCGGUGGAGCAUGUGGUUUAAUUCGAUGAUACGCGAGGAACCUUACCUGGGCUUAAAUGCAGAACGACAGGCUGGGAAACCAGUCCUUCUUCGGACGGUCUGCAAGGUGCUGCAUGGUUGUCGUCAGCUCGUGCCGUGAGGUGUCAGGUUAAGUCCUAUAACGAGCGCAACCCCUAUCACUAGUUGCCAGCGAGUAAUGUCGGGGACUCUAGUGAAACUGCCCGUGCAAGCGGUGAGGAAGGUGGGGAUGACGUCAAAUCAUCACGGCCCUUACGUCCAGGGCUACACACGUGCUACAAUGGCGCAUACAAAGGGCAGCUACCUGGUGACAGGAUGCUAAUCUCUAAAGUGCGUCUCAGUUCGGAUUGAAGUCUGCAACUCGACUUCAUGAAGCUGGAAUCGCUAGUAAUCGCGCAUCAGCCAUGGCGCGGUGAAUACGUUCCCGGGCCUUGUACACACCGCCCGUCAAGCCAUGGAAGCUGGGGGUGCCUGAAGUCGGUGACCGCAAGGAGCCGCCUAGGGCAAAACUAGUAACUGGGGCUAAGUCGUAACAAGGUAGCCGUACCGGAAGGUGCGGCUG
Molecule: ribosomal RNA, 728 nt
Filed under: marine metagenome
Description: bacterial SSU rRNA
Rfam family: Bacterial small subunit ribosomal RNA
Source: RNAcentral